AGAGUUUGAUCCUGGCUCAGAUUGAACGCUGGCGGCAGGCCUAACACAUGCAAGUCGAGCGGUAGGGAGAAGCUUGCUUCUCUUGAGAGCGGCGGACGGGUGAGUAAUGCCUAGGAAUCUGCCUGGUAGUGGGGGAUAACGUUCGGAAACGGACGCUAAUACCGCAUACGUCCUACGGGAGAAAGCAGGGGACCUUCGGGCCUUGCGCUAUCAGAUGAGCCUAGGUCGGAUUAGCUAGUUGGUGGGGUAAUGGCUCACCAAGGCGACGAUCCGUAACUGGUCUGAGAGGAUGAUCAGUCACACUGGAACUGAGACACGGUCCAGACUCCUACGGGAGGCAGCAGUGGGGAAUAUUGGACAAUGGGCGAAAGCCUGAUCCAGCCAUGCCGCGUGUGUGAAGAAGGUCUUCGGAUUGUAAAGCACUUUAAGUUGGGAGGAAGGGUUGUAGAUUAAUACUCUGCAAUUUUGACGUUACCGACAGAAUAAGCACCGGCUAACUCUGUGCCAGCAGCCGCGGUAAUACAGAGGGUGCAAGCGUUAAUCGGAAUUACUGGGCGUAAAGCGCGCGUAGGUGGUUUGUUAAGUUGGAUGUGAAAUCCCCGGGCUCAACCUGGGAACUGCAUUCAAAACUGACUGACUAGAGUAUGGUAGAGGGUGGUGGAAUUUCCUGUGUAGCGGUGAAAUGCGUAGAUAUAGGAAGGAACACCAGUGGCGAAAGCGACCACCUGGACUAAUACUGACACUGAGUGCGAAAGCGUGGGGAGCAAACAGGAUUAGAUACCCUGGUAGUCCACGCCCGUAAACGAUGUCAACUAGCCGUUGGAAGCCUUGAGCUUUUAGUGGCGCAGCUAACGCAUUAAGUUGACCGCCUGGGGAGUACGGCCGCAAGGUUAAAACUCAAAUGAAUUGACGG
This 913-nucleotide ribosomal RNA is filed under the name uncultured bacterium. Its description in RNAcentral is "bacterial SSU rRNA". It matches the Rfam family "Bacterial small subunit ribosomal RNA", at positions 8 to 916 of the family's 1533-position model. The record is from RNAcentral.